This 709-nucleotide ribosomal RNA is filed under the name uncultured bacterium. RNAcentral describes it as "bacterial SSU rRNA". It matches the Rfam family "Bacterial small subunit ribosomal RNA", at positions 59 to 763 of the family's 1533-position model. The record is from RNAcentral.
CAGUCGAACGGCAGCGCGGGGCAACCUGGCGGCGAGUGGCGAACGGGUGAGUAAUAUAUCGGAACGUGCCCUGGAGUGGGGGAUAACGCAGCGAAAGUUGCGCUAAUACCGCAUACGAUCUAAGGAUGAAAGCGGGGGAUUCGCAAGAACCUCGUGCUCCUGGAGCGGCCGAUAUCUGAUUAGCUAGUUGGUGGGGUAAAGGCCUACCAAGGCAUCGAUCAGUAGCUGGUCUGAAAGGACGACCAGCCACACUGGAACUGAAACACGGUCCAAACUCCUACGGGAGGCAGCAGUGGGGAAUUUUGGACAAUGGGCGAAAGCCUGAUCCAGCAAUGCCGCGUGAGUGAAAAAGGCCUUCGGGUUGUAAAGCUCUUUUGUCAGGGAAGAAACGGUGUGGGCUAAUAUCCUGCACUAAUGACGGUACCUGAAGAAUAAGCACCGGCUAACUACGUGCCAGCAGCCGCGGUAAUACGUAGGGUGCAAGCGUUAAUCGGAAUUACUGGGCGUAAAGCGUGCGCAGGCGGUUUUGUAAGUCUGUCGUGAAAUCCCCGGGCUUAACCUGGGAAUUGCGAUGGAGACUGCAAGGCUAGAAUCUGGCAGAGGGGGGUAGAAUUCCACGUGUAGCAGUGAAAUGCGUAGAGAUGUGGAGGAACACCGAUGGCGAAGGCAGCCCCCUGGGUCAAGAUUGACGCUCAUGCACGAAAGCGUG